GACACUGGCGUUACCACUUGACCAAGG
RNAcentral lists this non-coding RNA (27 nucleotides) under Homo sapiens (human). Lineage: Eukaryota; Metazoa; Chordata; Mammalia; Primates; Hominidae. The record is from RNAcentral.